GAUGAACGCUGGCGGCGUGCCUAAUACAUGCAAGUCGAGCGAACAGAUGAGGAGCUUGCUCCUCUGACGUUAGCGGCGGACGGGUGAGUAACACGUGGAUAACCUACCUAUAAGACUGGGAUAACUUCGGGAAACCGGAGCUAAUACCGGAUAAUAUAUUGAACCGCAUGGUUCAAUAGUGAAAGACGGUUUUGCUGUCACUUAUAGAUGGAUCCGCGCCGCAUUAGCUAGUUGGUAAGGUAACGGCUUACCAAGGCGACGAUGCGUAGCCGACCUGAGAGGGUGAUCGGCCACACUGGAACUGAGACACGGUCCAGACUCCUACGGGAGGCAGCAGUAGGGAAUCUUCCGCAAUGGGCGAAAGCCCGACGGAGCAACGCCGCGUGAGUGAUGAAGGUCUUCGGAUCGUAAAACUCUGUUAUUAGGGAAGAACAAAUGUGUAAGUAACUAUGCACGUCUUGACGGUACCUAAUCAGAAAGCCACGGCUAACUACGUG
This 497-nucleotide ribosomal RNA is filed under the name uncultured bacterium. Its description in RNAcentral is "partial 16S ribosomal RNA". It matches the Rfam family "Bacterial small subunit ribosomal RNA", at positions 28 to 507 of the family's 1533-position model. The record is from RNAcentral.